CUUGGGAAAUGAUGUGAAUUGAUCCAAUUUAUCAGAGGCACUAGCUAUGCUGAAUGUCUUUGUUUGCACGUCAGUCUGAUCCCGUU
Molecule: small nucleolar RNA, 86 nt
Filed under: Jatropha curcas
Lineage: Eukaryota; Viridiplantae; Streptophyta; Magnoliopsida; Malpighiales; Euphorbiaceae
Description: Small nucleolar RNA Z122
Rfam family: Small nucleolar RNA Z122
About the family: Z122 is a member of the C/D class of snoRNA which contain the C (UGAUGA) and D (CUGA) box motifs. Most of the members of the box C/D family function in directing site-specific 2'-O-methylation of substrate RNAs.
Source: Rfam by way of RNAcentral